CACCUCUUCCCAUUCCGAACAGAGAAGUUAAGCCUCGUCACGCCGAUGGUACUGCUAUAUUGUGGGAGAGUAGGUAGCCGCCGUUU
Molecule: ribosomal RNA, 86 nt
Filed under: Bacillota bacterium
Lineage: Bacteria; Bacillati; Bacillota
Source: RNAcentral